This is a long non-coding RNA of Oncorhynchus keta (chum salmon), 1704 nucleotides long. RefSeq lists it as uncharacterized. Lineage: Eukaryota; Metazoa; Chordata; Actinopteri; Salmoniformes; Salmonidae. The transcript has 2 exons. The record is from RefSeq and is a predicted model, not a curated record.
GAAAGACGACCCCCACUUGGUGGUAGAACGUGUCUGUUCACAGAUGAACAGGAGGCUGUCAUUGGGCAAAUGGUAGUUGAAAAUAAUGCCAUAAGACUGUGGGGAAAUCCAACAACAGGCUAUUGAAAACUAUGCCAUGUUCCAUAACAUCAGAGUGAACUUAUCAACCAUAGCCCGCAUCCUUAAAAACCAUCUCCGGAUGAAGCAGAUCUACAGAGUCCCAUUUGAAAGGAAUUUUCAAAAAGUGAAGGUUAAACGAGACUCAUGGAGUUGGAUACAAGUCCCAUCCCCCAGGAACUCAUACUCAUAGAUGAGGUUGGAUUCAAUUUAGUGACGAUGAGGAGAGGAAGGAGCAUCAUUGGUCAACGCGCUAUCAUUGAGGUACCUGGCCAGCGUGGGGUAAAUGUCACUAUAUGUGCAGCUAUGAGCCACAAUGGGGUCCUCCACCGCCAUGCCACCCUUGGACCAUAUAACACUGCCCAUCUCCUUAAUUUCCUGAACAUCUUAAAUGACAAUCUUUUUCAGCCAGAGCAGAGAAGGACAGGUGAUCCUGAACAGCAAAUGCAUGUUCUAAUUUGGGACAACGUGAGUUUCCAUCGGGCUGCUCAGGUCCGCAACAGGUUCCAUGACCAUCCCAGGAUUACAAUUCUCUAUCUCCCACCCAUAUUCCACAUUUCUCAACCCCAUUGAAGAGUAGUUUUCAGCAUGGCGGAGGAAGGUGUAUGAUCGCAAACCCCAUGAACGUAUGGCCCUUCUCCAGGCAAUGGAGGAGGCCUGUGGUGACAUUCCAGCAGAGUCCUGUCAAGGGUGGAUGAGCCAUGCCAGAAGCUAUUUUCCAAACUGUCUGGCCAAGGAGAAUAUCGCCUGUGAUGUUGAUGAAAAUCUGUGGCCGGACCAAAACAACAGACAUGACAGAUUUUGCAGUGGUGUAAAACAAUUAAGUAAAACAACUUUAAAGUACUACUUAAGUAGUUUAUUUGGGAAUCUGUACAUUACCAUUUAAUAUUUCUCACAACUUUUAUUUCCUAAAAAAAGUAAUGUACUCAAGUAGUAUUUUAGUGGGUGACUUUCACUUUUACUUGAGUCAUUUUCUAUUAAGGUAUCUUUACUUUUACUCAAGUAUGACAAUUGUGUCCUUUUUCUAACACUGAUUUUGUUUUUUCGCAAUGGAGUAUUUUGACAGUUUCUUUAUCUAUUCCGUACAAUUGAUCUAACGUACAGUAGUUCUUUUGCAUAUGCUAAAUAUAUUUACUGUAUGUUUGCUGUUUGACAUGUACUGAGUCAGGUUGAAAUAUAAAACAAACAUUUUUGCCUUCCUUGUUUGAGUACACACAAACAAUAUACAGUAUAACAACAAUCUUAGUCUUUACACUGAAACAGGUUUUGAGUAUGUCACAUUAGUGUGAUCUCGUUCGUCACUAAGUUAGAUUAAUUUGAUGAUGUGUGUGUCUCAUUUGUAUGCAGGGAGGACAUGAUUUUGAUUGCUGUGUUUCAUGUUGCAAGAUGUCUUUGGGGCUUGUGGAAAUUGGCUAAAAGUUGUGUGUUUAGAGUUGAGUACCUGAGAUGUAGUUACAGCAAACGUGUGUUAACAAUUGGGAAAAACUAAAUUGUUUUUUUACCCUCAACAAUCUACACACAAUACCCCAUAAAGAAAAAGCUCAAAUUUAGAAAUGUUUGCAAAUGUAUUAAAAAACAGAAAUAUCA